AAAAAAAAUCCUUUAUGCAGUCAAUUCAAUCCACAAAUUCGCUGCAAGGCGGACAGAACUGCAGACGACAAGAAAUUAUGUGCUCUAGGUCACUCUAGAUGUGCCGAAUUUCGAGCAUUUUUGGAUGGUGUGAAAGCAUUUUCAUUAAGCGAGAAAAGUGGGACGCAACAUGAUAAGGAUAAGGUUACCUCGUGGGCUGUCUAAAGGCCAAGCAACGUUGGCGAUCAUUCUGGGCUUCGGCUGCAGCUUAUACACCUGGUAUCCAGUGCUUCAGUACAAGCGUGCAAAAGUUAUUGCCGAAAAGCAGAAUGCUGCACCACAGGAUGAGUCGCCGUUGGACAACAAGUGACCUUACCGGGUCGGAAAGCUGUCGGAGCGGAUCAACAUCAUCUUGUGUUCCUAGACGUCGCGUACAUAAAGCGAAAUGAAAAAAAAUUGCGAAAGGCAACGUCUGUUCACUUGUCACUUUAUCGACAACAGGUUUCUGGCCAUGGGAAACGGUACGCUCUCGUAUUUUCGAGAGUCUAAGCACCUUUUGCUCACUUGGCGGAAAUGAGGGGGAGGGGUCUCAUCAUUCUUUGAAGAAUCACUAUUAGUACCUUACGUUCCCCCAACGUCAAUGUAAAGAAAACUCGCAACUCAAAUUUAGUUGGCUCGUGGUAUUUUAUUAAGUCGUGCCUAUGCUUCUUCUUGGAUCCUCUUCAACCUGCAACCAGCAGAAGUGGGGAUUUAAAAAAGACGGCAUGAAAAAUGCCCUUCCAGCAAAAUACAGUUCCAUUAACGCCACGAAACCUAACAUAUUUAUUUAUUUCAAGUGCCUGCAGCGCCCGAAGGCAUUAUUGCAGGGGGGAAUACACAGUGUUACAUAAGCUCGAUAAAAUACAGAACUGAUCAACCGAAAAUAACAGCAAUAGAAACGUUCACGCCACUAUAAAUUAAACAGAAAUGCUCUGAACAAUGCUUCAGUGCGACAAUCAGCAAUUUCCUGUGGGAAACCUAACAUAAUGUUGAUAGUAGCAUUCAUGACCCGCUGGAGCAAAGCUUCUGUUGCAGUUAGUUCAGCGAACCAAAUGCUAAUUAACAUACUAACUAUCAAACUUUAUUUUUGUGUACUGCUGUACUCUUCAUGGCCAGAAAUAAAAGUGCUCAAGUUCUAAUUUCA
This 1162-nucleotide long non-coding RNA is filed under the name Dermacentor andersoni. RNAcentral describes it as "uncharacterized LOC126542492". Lineage: Eukaryota; Metazoa; Arthropoda; Arachnida; Ixodida; Ixodidae. The record is from RNAcentral.